UACGAAGGGGGCUAGCGUUGCUCGGAAUCACUGGGCGUAAAGGGUGCGUAGGCGGGCUUUUAAGUCAGAGGUGAAAUCCUGGAGCUCAACUCCAGAACUGCCUUUGAUACUGAAAGUCUUGAGUAUGGGAGAGGUGAGUGGAACUGCGAGUGUAGAGGUGAAAUUCGUAGAUAUUCGCAAGAACACCAGUGGCGAAGGCGGCUCACUGGCCCAUUACUGACGCUGAGGCACGAAAGCGUGGGGAGCAAACAGG
Molecule: ribosomal RNA, 253 nt
Filed under: uncultured bacterium
Lineage: Bacteria
Description: partial 16S ribosomal RNA
Rfam family: Bacterial small subunit ribosomal RNA
Source: RNAcentral